Molecule: transfer RNA, 73 nt
Filed under: Camelus bactrianus (Bactrian camel)
Lineage: Eukaryota; Metazoa; Chordata; Mammalia; Artiodactyla; Camelidae
Also listed under: 2 other names
Rfam family: tRNA
About the family: Transfer RNA (tRNA) molecules are approximately 80 nucleotides in length. Their secondary structure includes four short double-helical elements and three loops (D, anti-codon, and T loops).
Source: Rfam by way of RNAcentral
GAGGGUAUAGCUCAAGUGGUAGAGCCGGUGCCUAGCACGCACAAGGUCCUGGGUUCAUUCCCCACUACCUCCU